This 2313-nucleotide long non-coding RNA is filed under the name Homo sapiens (human). Its description in RNAcentral is "non-protein coding lnc-FAM19A3-6:3". The record is from RNAcentral. Lineage: Eukaryota; Metazoa; Chordata; Mammalia; Primates; Hominidae.
UCUCUGGUAAAUAUUUCAUUAGGGGAGAUGCGGAUGCAGCAGGGCUGAUCCUGUCUAAGCCUCCUCUUGUCUCCCCUCGCCCACUGGAUUCCCAAGUGGCUCCUCCAAAGAAGUCCCACCUCUCUCUCCUACCCCACCCUGCCCUCCCUCAGGCUGCUCUCCUGGGUGACGCUGUGCUCCAACAUUCAUGGCCUGACAGCUAUUGCACAUGUUCCUGUGUGGCCUCUGGGUCAUCAGGUAUGUGUUGGGAAGUGGGGAUUUGUCUCUUGCUCAAACCACGAGGACCCUGGGAGGAAGAAUGGCCUACUUUCUUCCUUUCCUAAGGUCACUCACAUGGUACGGGAGGGGGUGAUCCUAAAAGCAUAGGACCAUCUCCAUUAUUUCUCAGCUCUCCCACUCCACUCCCUGCUCUGAGCUUCUAUAUGCUAGUCCUGCCUGGUGGUGGCGGUGGUGGUGGUGGUGGUGGUGUGUGUGUGUGUGUGAGAGAGAGAGAGAGAGAGAGAGAGAAAGAGGGAGAAAAAGCCAUCACAGCAUUCUGACCCAGGCAGAAGAGAAGAGAGGAGAAAGCAAGUCCCGGUAGGAGGAGGUAGGAACCACUAUAACCAAAGCCAGCAGGCAACCAGGCUCAGCCUCUGGAAUGCUGCAGCCUGAAAUGACAGGAAACAGAAAUGGGGGAACUCACAGAGCUCCACGCGCCCUGCUCAGCCCCGGCCAUGCCCAGCCCUAUGCUGCUCAGAGGAAGGCACUCAAAGGACACAAUGCCUCCAGCUCACGGAAAGCCCCACCCCACCUUCUCCCUCUCCCCAUGGACAUAGGCUCAUUCAUGUGGGGUAGGGACUGGAAGGGGUGUGGACUCCACCGUGACAUUUACCGAAGACAUGAACUCAGCGAACAUUGUAAUUUGCUGAUUAAAAAUUUAAUCCCCAUCUUAAGGUCAGAAAACCGGGUACGAAGAAGUUGGCAGAAAUUGGGGCUGGUGGGUGGGGAAGAGUGGAGCAAGUCAGUCUGCGUUAGCUGAGGGGAGGGGUUUGUCAGGCUGGUGGGGUUUGGGGGCAGAGUGUAGGGGGAAAUUGAGGAGGACCCAGGAGCCCGCUGGCAGGGAUAAGGAUGGGGGCAGGACACAUCUUCCUAAGGGAGCUGGGUGGGGUAGAUACUCCCAGUCUAUUCCCAGUUGCAGGAGACAGAAAGAGUCCGGACUUCAGAGUGAGAUGGACCUGGGCUAGCAUCUGGCUGUGUGGCCCUGGGGACGAGAGCCCUGCCCAAUACAGAGUGAUCUAAUACCAGCCACUUGGAUAGAUGCAUUUCGUUUCUUCCAUCCUAGGAUUUCUGGAGAGGCAGCUUGGGAAGGCCAGGUGUGGAUAACAUGUGUAAAGAUUCAUUCUCAUUGUAGAUCUUAGCAACCUCAGCAUACAGAUUUUUUUUUUCUAUCCUUAAGUCAAAAACUUUUACCUUUUCACUUAAAGGAAGAACUUUCCAGCUUAUUCAACAUUAAUAUACAGUAUAUUCAAAUUGCCAUGAUCACUGCUACUGCACUUUAGGGCAAUUAUUAAGUAAAAUAAGGGUUACUUGACACAAGCAUUGUGAUACCUCAACAGUUGAUCGGAUAACCUAGAGGGCUCCUAAGUGACCUGAGAGCCAGUAGUGGAUACACUGGACAAAGGAUGAUUCACAUCCUGGGCAGGAUGGAGUGGGAUGGUGAGAUACUUCAUCGGGCUACUCAGAAUGGUGCACAAUUUAAAACUUGUGAAUUAUUUCUGGACGUUUUCUUUCUCUUUUUUUUUUUUUUGAGAUGGAGUCUCGCCCUGUUGCCCAGACUGGAGUGCAGUGGCACCAUCUUCGCUCACUACAACCUCUGCCUCCUGGGUUCAAGCAAUUCUCCUGCCUCAGCCUUCCGAGUAGCUGGGACUACAGGUGUGUGCCACUAUGCCUGGCUAAUUUUUUUGUAUUUUAGUAGAGACGGGCAUUUCACCAUACUGGCCAGACUGGUCUCGAACUCCUGACCUCGUGAUCCACCUGCCUUGGCCUCCCAAAGUGCUGGGAUUACAGGCAUGAGCCACUGUGCCCGGCCUGGACGUUUUCAUUUAAUAUUUUUCGACUGUGGUUGUAACUGAAACCAUGAUAGUAAUUUUCACUUUCGGAAAGUGAAACUGCAGAUAAGCAGGGGAGACAUAUUUAGUCAUGUAUUACACCAUUUUUUUCUGUUUUAUAUAUUGGGGUUCUGCAUGAAAUUGAAGUUUGAAUUUUCCUUUGCUCUCCCAUUAUCUCGCUUGAUCUCACAAAAGCCCUGCAUAAUCAAGAUAUUAGUAUUAUUCC